RNAcentral lists this small RNA (722 nucleotides) under Collybiopsis confluens. RNAcentral's name for it is "sequence contains 18S rRNA gene, ITS1, 5.8S rRNA gene, ITS2, 28S rRNA gene". The stretch from base 266 to 419 matches the Rfam family "5.8S ribosomal RNA". Lineage: Eukaryota; Fungi; Basidiomycota; Agaricomycetes; Agaricales; Omphalotaceae. The record is from RNAcentral.
UUUCCGUAGGUGAACCUGCGGAAGGAUCAUUAUUGAAAUGUUUUGGGGAACUACUGUUGCUGGCCUUUUGUAACAAAAAGGCAUGUGCACGUAUUCUCUAAUCUAUUCAUCCACCUGUGCAUCUUUUGUAGGGGUUCUUUUGGAUUGAUCGGUAGAUUUUCUCUACUGUUGAUUUGAAGGGAUUUCCUAUGUCUUAUAAACAAGUCAAGUAUGUUAUUGAAUGUCAUUUACUGGGGACUUUAUUGGACCCUUUAAAACUUUGUACAACUUUCAGCAACGGAUCUCUUGGCUCUCCCAUCGAUGAAGAACGCAGCGAAAUGCGAUAAGUAAUGUGAAUUGCAGAAUUCAGUGAAUCAUCGAAUCUUUGAACGCACCUUGCGCCCUCUGGUAUUCCGGAGGGCAUGCCUGUUUGAGUGUCAUUAUAUUCUCAACUUCAAUAGUUUCUUUAUUGUUGAAGUAUGGAUGUGGAGGCCUUUGCUGGCAUCACUUAGAUGUUCAGCUCCUCUUAAAUACAUUAGUGGAAUUCCCAUUUCGUUGGGCUAUUCUUGGUGUGAUAAUUAUCUACACUUUGGAUCAGUUCUAACAAGCUCUCAGUAGUCAGUGUACUUUUAUAGUAUAUUGGUUUUGGGUAAAUGCAUUUGCUUGCUUUAUCUGGUUUACUAGAGUUAAAGGGAAACUAGACCGCUUUCAAACCGUCUGUAUAUGCGGACAAUUUUGACUAU